UUUUCUAUCUCUGUAAUGCAUGGUGAUGAUGAUGAUGAUUGCGAUGAUGUUGAUGAUAGACAAUUAAUAAUGAUGACAGGGCUGUUGGGUGUAUUCAAGCAUAACAAAGGAAAUGGACACCUUGUUGGAGGAAAAACCAAGACCACUUUUCUGUGAUACAAGAUGGAUGGUACCUCCAAUUUUUUGGUGUAUUUUAACAUACCUGUACCUGAGGAAUGUGGAAGUUGGAUCAUACUGGAAGAUAUAUAAGUGUUUGCCGUAGGAGCCAGUAAAGUCCCUCCUUUAGGAUUUGAUCAAGAACCUUCGUUAAGUUUCUUACAUGACCAGGAAGUCUUUCUGAAAACCAACACCUGUACCAUGGAUAUUAAAGGACUAUGCAACUUUUAAAUCAAACAUGGCGUUUGGUAUUCCUAAUUCACCUGACUUUGGACUGGAGUCUUUCACAAUUUCAGCAGAGAUGUUCUAGAGUUUAUAGGGAAUUUCUCAUUAUCUGGGAAACAUUUUAACAAAUGAGCCAUGCCAUGGUAAAACCAACAUAGUGGGUAUGCGACCAGCAUGGAUCCAGACCAGCCUGCGCAUCUGCGCAGUCUGGUCAGGAUCCAUGCUGUUUGCUAACAGUUUCUCCAAUUCCAAUAGGCUUUAAAAGCGAACAGCAUGGAGCCUGACCAGACUGCGCGGAUGCGCAGGCUGGUCUGGAUCCAUGCUGGUCGCAUACCCACUAUGUUGGUUUUCUCAUGGCACGGUUCAAAUUAUGAACAGAUACAGAAAAUUAAUGUCAAAGCAAAUUUUUGUACAUAGGAGCACUCUGGAAAGUUGAUGUUUGUUGCAUAUAAUUCAUCAUGGACAGCAAACUUAAUAUAUUCUCCAGAUUAUAAAAGUGACAUUAUAUGUGUAAUAAAAUAAGCAAAUAGUUUUGAAGUUUGUCAGCUGAUAAAACUGUGUAAGCAUAGGAAGACACAUCAAAAGAACUUGGUGUCUUUGUGUAGGGCCACUUGCUAAAAUAAUUUCUUUUUACCAAAAGGCAGAUAUGCAACUGUUCAACUGACAUUUUAAAGCAGUUUCACCAGUAUAUGCUUCUUAGGAGCAAAAUCAAAUAGACUGAUUAUUCAACAUACUGUUAAAGUUGUGAAUUAAGGGUAUCUUGAUGUACAGACACUAGGUAGUUUUUUAACCUUUAGCUUCCUAAAUUUCUAUAAUGGACUGGUUCAUCAUUCCAAUUUGGGCUGUAUCAUUUAUCAUUUGAAGGGGUGUUCACUGAAAAUUUACAGACUGCAAGGAUGUGCAGGCUGAUCUUGGUCUGCACUGGUCGCAAGGGCAGAAUCACUUGCAGCCAGCAGGCUAAAGGUUAAGAUGCCUCAGUUGGUAUUCAUAUAUCUCAAGGUGAACAUUUUUCAUAUCAACCUCUUAGAAAUGCAAUAUUUAUUUCAUUGUACCGAAAACAUACAGAAGUCAAAACAUUGAUUGGAAAAUCAACAUAUUGAGUUAAAUGAUUUAUUGAAAUUAUUAUUAAAAGGUAGACUGUUAACACUCAUUUUUAGCUUGAAUUUUCGAAGCAAAAGAGAGCUAUUGCAGUCUCACCCCAGCAUUGGCGUCGUAGUUCAAACAGGUUAUAGCUUUUGAUAAAGUAAAAUAUCUCCGUUACUAUCAAAGCUAUUGACUUGAAACUUAAAAUAUUGAUUUGCUAUCAAAGUCUACACCAGGAGAAUCAAUCCUCAUAACUCUAAUUUGAAUUUUACAGAGUUAUGCCCCUUUUUAACUUAAAAUUUUUCGGUUAAAGUUUAUGAUAAAGUCAAAUAUCUGUUACUAACAAAGCUUUGACUUAUUAUUUGGUUAAAGUUUUUGAUAAAGUCAAAUAUCUCUGUUACUAUCAAAGCUUUUGAUUUGAAACUUAAAACAGUUAUUUACAAUCAAAGUCUACACCAGGAGAAACAGUCCCAUAUUUCUGUUCGAUUUUCACAGAGUUAUGCCCCUUUUUAACUUAGAAUUACUUGAUAAAGUCAAAUAUCUCUGUUACUAUCAAAACCUUUGACUUGAAACUUAAAAUUGUUACAUACUAUCAAAGUCUACAACAGGAGAAACAAUCCCCAUAACUCUGAUUUGAAUUUUUACAGAGUAAUGCCCCUUUUUUAACUUUGAAUUUUUUGGUUAAAGUUCUAUAAAGUUUUUACUGGCAUAGCACUAAUUCAGAGUCAAGCACUGAGAAAUGUCAAGUUUGCUGUCUUAUGGGCAGCAUUUGUAUUAAAUACAGUAGGAAUCUUUACUGGACAGCACUCCAAAAAUGUGCUGAUUUUACCAUAAGGUUUUAAUGCUGCCCGAAGGGGUGGGGGCGUAGUCGUCACCUUGUCCGUCUGUCCAAAUUUGUGUCAUUCAUAUCUCUAAAAGUAUUUGACCCAGUCAUCAGAACUCACAGGAUUGUUAUUAAGCAUGAGAUGGGACCAGGGGUUUUAAUUUGGAUCUCAUACAGUCAGACUUGAAUUAUGGCCCUUGACUGAAUGAAAACUACACAUUAAGUGUUUGUGUUGCAUAUAUCUUAAAAAUUCACCUAAAAUCAUGAAAUCAUGUAGGAAUAUUAUCUAUCAUGUAAAUUUGUGCACAUGAGAUUUUGUGUGUGUGUGUUUUUUUUUCACAGUGCAAGGCCAGAGUUAUGGCCCUUGACUUAGUAAAAAAAAAAAUAGAAAUUAUGCAGCAUGUUUGUCAAAAUUUAUUUGACCUAGAGUCAUUAAGCAUUAGAGGACUGUUAAUCCCCCGCCGUGGCGGAGGGAUUAUAGGAAUGGUCUGCGUCCGUCCUUCCGUCCUUCCGUCCGUAACAAAUUCGUGUCCGGUCCAUAUCUCCUAAACCCCUUGAAGGAUUUUCAUGAAACUUGGGUCAAAUGAUCACCUCAUCAAGACGAUGUGCAGAACCCAUGAGUCAGCCUUGUCGGUUCAAGGUCAAGGUCAUAACUCAAGGUCAAAGGUUUGAGCCUGCCAUUUUGUGUCCGCUCUAUAUCUCCUAAACCCCUUGAAGGAAUUUUAUAAAACUUGGGUCAAAUGAUCACCUCAUCAAGACGAUGUGCAGAACCCAUGAGUCAGCCAUGCCGGCUCAAGGUCAAGGUCACAACUCAAGGUCAAAGGUUUGAGCCUUCCAUUUUGUGUCCGCUCUAUAUCUCUUAAACCCCUUGAAGGAAUUUUAUAAAACUUGGGUCAAAUGAUCACCUCAUCAAGACGAUGUGCAGAAUCCAUGAGUCAGUCAUGCCGGCUCAAGGUCAAGGUCACAACUUAGGGUCAAAGGUUUGAACCUUCCAUUUUGUGUCCGCUCUAUAUCUCCUAAACCCCUUGAAGGAUUUUCAUCAAACUUGGGUCAAACGAUCACCUCAUCAAGGCGAUGUGCAGAACUUAUGAGUCAGCCAUGUCAGCUCAAGGUCAAGGUCACAACUGAAGGUCAAAGGUUUGAGCCUUCCAUUUCGUGUCCACUCUAUAUCUCCUAAACCCCUUGAAGGAAUUUUAUAAAACCUGGGUCAAAUGAUUACCUCAUCAAGACGAUGUGCAGAAAUUAUGAGUCAACCAUGCCAGCUCAAGGUCAAGGUCACAACUUAGGGUCGAAGGUUUGAGCCUUCCAUUUGGUGUCCACUCUGUAUCUCCUUAACCCCUUGAAGGAUUUUCAUCAAACUUUGGUCAAAUGAUCACCUCAUCAAGAACUCAUGAGUCAGCCAUGUCAACUCAAGGUCAAGGUCACAACUGAAGGUCAAAGGUUUCAGCUCUGUAUCUCCUAAACCCCUUGAAGGAUUUUCAUGAAACUUUGGUCAAAUGAUCACCUCAUCAAGACGUUGUGCAGAAUUCAUGAGUCAGCCAUGUCAGUUCAAGGUCAAGGUCACAGCUAAAAUCAAAGGUUUUACCCUUUCACUAUCCAUAGCAGUGGCGGGGGAUUUAGCUUUCUUUCAGACUGCCUUGUUUAAUAGGCUAUGAAAUUUUGCUCCGGGUGUUCUCUUUGUGAUUUUACUCAGCUAGGCCCGAGUUAUGGUCCUUCACCAAGUGAAAAAUACACAUAAAGUUCCUAAAGGUUUUUGUUGCAAACAUCUUAAUAAAUAUUUAACCCUUAGUCAUAAAACCAUGUACAGUGACAGGAGUUGGGGUGGGGGGGGGGGGACCUGUAUCGUAUAGUCACCCUAUUAUAAGACACACAUCUCGUUUUAUUUUGAUGUGCCAGAGCUUACACUACAUUUAUAACUUUCAACAUUUUCAAGAAAUAGUCAAAGAGUCAUAAAAAAACAUUAGAUACAAUCUGUAUUUUGGGAACAACUUUGGAUCAUGCACAUACAUUUAGAUAUAUUGCAAAGAUAGUCAUACAUAUUUAGCGUUGUGUUUUCUCAACCCUUGUUCCUUUAAACAAUAAUUUAUACAGUUAAUGAUGCCCCAUUUGAUGCUUAAACAUUUAGUAUUUUAGCUGUCACACAGUAUGACCACAUAUCCAAAGUGCAUUAUCAAAUUAGUAUGGGUUUCUUUUAGUCAUCUUUGUUUUGCUAGAAAGCUUUCUUGUUUCAGUUUGCACUUCCUGCUUGGAUUUACUGUUUCAAGUUUUAUUUCCUAUUCCGGAUGGUAUUUUCUGUUUCAAGUUGUUUUUACAAUACUCAUUUCUCUGUAAAACUGUUUAACUUUAAUGAAUAACUGAAAUUAUUACUUUUGUGGCGGUUUAGUUUUCUCUUUAACCCUAAACAUGCUUGACAUGAUUGGUUCUGCCUUUUGUGACCAGUGUAGAUCAUUAUCAGCCUGGACAUCCGUGCAGUCUGAUCAUGAUCUGCACUGUUUGCUAUUCAUUCUGUAUCUUGGGUAAGCAUCCAUUUUAACAGUUAAUAAUAAUAAUAUUAUUAUUAUUGUACUGUCAAAAUUGGAAGAUGGACAAGUUCAUUAUAGAAAUUUAGCAGGGUAAGGGUUAAAGCAGAUAGUGUAUUGACAGUAAAUUUACAUUUUACUCUGAAAUCAAGACAACUUUUAAAACACUUAUGAUAUAUCGAAGACAGCUCCAAACAGAAAAAUUUAACUUGUGUAUUUGAGUUUUGGAGGCAUUUUAGUAACUAACAGUGGGGAACACUGGUACUGAUGAUAAACCCGGACAGAUGAAAAAGUCGACCACCUUGGAUAUAUUUGACUGCAAUUGGUUAUUUAUAAAAAUGAACACACCAUCAAAUAGCAAGCACAAGCACCUACAACACCAA
Long non-coding RNA from Mercenaria mercenaria, 5189 nucleotides. RefSeq lists it as uncharacterized. NCBI's taxonomy places the organism in Eukaryota, Metazoa, Mollusca, Bivalvia, Venerida, Veneridae. The transcript has 3 exons. The record is from RefSeq and is a predicted model, not a curated record.